This 602-nucleotide ribosomal RNA is filed under the name uncultured bacterium. Its description in RNAcentral is "bacterial SSU rRNA". It matches the Rfam family "Bacterial small subunit ribosomal RNA", at positions 119 to 717 of the family's 1533-position model. The record is from RNAcentral.
AGGAAUCUGCCUGGUAGUGGGGGAUAACGUCCGGAAACGGACGCUAAUACCGCAUACGUCCUACGGGAGAAAGCAGGGGACCUUCGGGCCUUGCGCUAUCAGAUGAGCCUAGGUCGGAUUAGCUAGUUGGUGGGGUAAUGGCUCACCAAGGCGACGAUCCGUAACUGGUCUGAGAGGAUGAUCAGUCACACUGGAACUGAGACACGGUCCAGACUCCUACGGGAGGCAGCAGUGGGGAAUAUUGGACAAUGGGCGAAAGCCUGAUCCAGCCAUGCCGCGUGUGUGAAGAAGGUCUUCGGAUUGUAAAGCACUUUAAGUUGGGAGGAAGGGCAGUAAAUUAAUACUUUGCUGUUUUGACGUUACCGACAGAAUAAGCACCGGCUAACUCUGUGCCAGCAGCCGCGGUAAUACAGAGGGUGCAAGCGUUAAUCGGAAUUACUGGGCGUAAAGCGCGCGUAGGUGGUUCGUUAAGUUGGAUGUGAAAUCCCCGGGCUCAACCUGGGAACUGCAUUCAAAACUGACGAGCUAGAGUAUGGUAGAGGGUGGUGGAAUUUCCUGUGUAGCGGUGAAAUGCGUAGAUAUAGGAAGGAACACCAGUGGCG